CCUACGGGUGGCAGCAGUAGGGAAUCUUCCACAAUGGGCGAAAGCCUGAUGGAGCAACGCCGCGUGGGUGAAGAAGGUCUUCGGAUCGUAAAACCCUGUUGUUAGAGAAGAAAGUGCGUGAGAGUAACUGUUCACGUGUCGACGGUAUCGAACCAGAAAGCCAAGGCUAACGACGUGCCAGCAGCCGCGGUAAUACGUAGGUGGCAAGCGUGAGCCGGAUUUAUUGGGCGUAAAGGGAACGCAGGCGGUCGUUUAAGUCUGAUGUGAAAGCCUUCGGCUUAACCGGAGUAGUGCCUUGGAAACUGGGAGCCUUUAUUGCAGCAGCGGAGAGUGGAACUCCAUGUGUAGCGGU
This 352-nucleotide ribosomal RNA is filed under the name uncultured bacterium. RNAcentral's name for it is "partial 16S ribosomal RNA". It matches the Rfam family "Bacterial small subunit ribosomal RNA", at positions 338 to 682 of the family's 1533-position model. The record is from RNAcentral.